CAGUUCAUGCAGUUGGGCAGGAAAGCAUCUUUCCGAGUCUGUCCUUGGAUCACGAGGUGGCAGCUGCUGAUGGAGACUCUCUGGGCACACCUGGAGUCGCAUCACAGCCCUGUGGACGCUCACUGACCAGAACUUCGGGUGUCUAGCUAACCGAGGGCCUCGUUGGCUCAGCUGUGGAGGCCAGGGGAACCGUGACUCACGCCAGGGCUUCAGGCCGUUCCGAGUACCAACCCCCCAAAAAAAGAGAAACCCAAACCCAAAAGACAGCCGUGCCAACGCCUCCACAGUCCUGGUGGACCCAGAGCAGCGGAGCGUUUGAGAAAACGGCUUCACAGACGUUGAGGACGCACUGAGGACGCUGUGCGACACAGCCCGAGUUUUAGUGCGGUUACUAGAAAAUUGAAAGUUGCAUAGAAGAGAAACGCAACUCCGUGCCGGGACGGAGACGCGCCGAGACGGAGACGCGCCAAGACGGAGACGCGCCGAGACGGCCGGCGCUUCGGCAGCCGCGCGUGGAAACGAGGCUUUGUGCCCGGGAGCGCGUCCUCUUGAGCCGCCACCGACCGACUGACCGCGCGGGUGACUGCAGAGCCGCCGCUGGAGCCGGGAUCCCUGGGCGGGGCUCCCCUCCCCCUGCCGCCGGCGCCCGCCUCCCUGCCCCGAGCGGGAGCCAGCUGCAAGGAGGCAGCGGUGGAAGCCCGAGCGACAGUAUCUCUGGUGGUGCCGCCGGGGGCGGGGCGGGCGGCAGGUGCAGGGUCACUGCCGCGCUGCUCCCCAGGACAAGCCACCCCUCGGACGCGGGCCACACCUCUCGGGCAUGGGCAGGUCUGGCCGCAGAGCCCGGCCUGAGGCCGCAGAGCCCGGCCCGCGGCCACCCCGGUGCCCCUUGGCAGCAGCGGCAGCAGCGCCGCGCGGGAGGUAGGGACGGGAAGCCGGGCACUCCCCGAUUUUUCUAUGAGCAGGGAAAAAAAGGUGGGGGCUUGUUUCUGUGGUAAGUGGCUUUUAAGAAAAAGUGCCCAUAGUUUAUCUCCGAGUGGGGAGCCAGUCAGAAGAAACGACAGACUCCCUGCUCGGCUGAGGAAGAGAAAAGAAUCUCCAGCUGACCCGUCUGUCCUGUUCAAGGAAAAGAAGAAAGAAUGGGCACUCUGCCAAGUGUCUGAGGUUGUCCCAGUCGUGACAAAUAAUUAGGAAGAAAACGUCCUGAACCAGGCAGGUGUCUCUCGCCUAUAGUCCCAGCAACCGGGGAGGCUGAGGCAGGAGAAUUGCCAGUUCAAGGCCAACCUGGGCAAUUUAGUGAGGACCUGUCUCAAGAUAAUAAAAAGGGCUGGGGGCGUAGCUCAGUGGUAAAGUGUCCCCAAGUUAAACCUCCGUACCAAAAAAAAAAAAAAAAAAGGAAAAAGAAAAAGUAAAAAGAUCUUGAAAGGUGUGCAAGAUCCCCGCUGUUUCUUGGAAAGUUCCCUGUUAGAAAAGAAUGUGCUCCUAACAGUCUAGAAGGGGUGCAAUUGGCUGUACGCAGGAGACAGUUGUCUGUCUCCUUGGUGGGAGGAAUCUGAUGAGCCUUUUAGUCCGUCACAGUGAGGGAGGACGCGUAAACCGAGCUGCAAGGGCCAGACGGGAACUGUUGCCAACAACCCCGUCCAGUCCUGUUUCUCUUCCCCUCAUGGGCACUCUUGCCUCAUGUUUUAGUGGACAUUGCUGUGUUCCUCGGUACUCAGACAUACGUGUAUCUCCCCUCGAUCACUUUCCACGAGUUGCUGCUGUAAGAGUAUUCUGCUAAGUGUGGGUGCAUUCACACUCCAAAGCAGAUCCGGAGUCUGAAGCAGCUAAGAGCAGCUAUGAAACGAGGAACACACAGCUGCAGAAACAGCAAGCAAUAGGUAGAGGACUUUGGGGUUUUUUGUUUUGUUUUGUUUUGUUUUGUUUUGGUGUUAUAGAGGAGAGAUUCUAAUUACAAGAAAAUUCCAAUGAAUUGGGCAAAAAUAUUAGUUUCUACACCAUCCUAAAGAAAAAGUUAUGAUGGAUUUUGGAAUAUGAAACAUUUUUUUAAGGUCGGAAACUUAAAUCGUAAAAAUGACCGGUGUUGAAGUUCUCAAACCAGAACUCUUGCGUACAAAAGUAGGCAAGAAAAGGUUGCGUACUUUCCUGGAGUCAAUCUGAGUGGUCCUACUCCUUUCCUUUGCAGGAAAACUAGUGCUUACAGUGUCCAAUUGUGUUUCGCUUCGGGUUGAAAUUGAAACAAUGAGAACCUAAAGAAAGUGGGUGCAAGCUCCCUAUUUGGGUGAAUAUGCAAAGCGUGACCUGUAACUUCAU
Molecule: long non-coding RNA, 2310 nt
Organism: Sciurus carolinensis (gray squirrel)
Lineage: Eukaryota; Metazoa; Chordata; Mammalia; Rodentia; Sciuridae
Exons: 3
Source: RefSeq, a predicted model, not a curated record